CCUACGGGAGGCAGCAGUGGGGAAUAUUGCACAAUGGGCGCAAGCCUGAUGCAGCAACGCCGCGUGAGGGACGACGGCCUUCGGGUUGUAAACCUCUUUUAGUAGGGAAGAAGCGAAAGUGACGGUACCUGCAGAAAAAGCACCGGCUAACUACGUGCCAGCAGCCGCGGUAAUACGUAGGGUGCAAGCGUUAUCCGGAAUUAUUGGGCGUAAAGAGCUCGUAGGCGGUUUGUCACGUCUGCUGUGAAAACUGGAGGCUCAAACCUCCAGCCCUUGCNGUGGU
RNAcentral lists this ribosomal RNA (283 nucleotides) under uncultured bacterium. RNAcentral describes it as "partial 16S ribosomal RNA". It matches the Rfam family "Bacterial small subunit ribosomal RNA", at positions 338 to 630 of the family's 1533-position model. The record is from RNAcentral.